RNAcentral lists this ribosomal RNA (161 nucleotides) under Senegalia ferruginea. RNAcentral describes it as "5.8S ribosomal RNA". It matches the Rfam family "5.8S ribosomal RNA". From Rfam's summary of the family: 5.8S ribosomal RNA (5.8S rRNA) is a component of the large subunit of the eukaryotic ribosome. It is transcribed by RNA polymerase I as part of the 45S precursor that also contains 18S and 28S rRNA. The record is from RNAcentral. Lineage: Eukaryota; Viridiplantae; Streptophyta; Magnoliopsida; Fabales; Fabaceae.
GAGACUCUCGGCAACGGAUAUCUCGGCUCUCGCAUCGAUGAAGAACGUAGCGAAAUGCGAUACUUGGUGUGAAUUGCAGAAUCCCGUGAACCAUCGAGUCUUUGAACGCAAGUUGCGCCCGAAGCCGUAUGGCCGAGGGCACGUCUGCCUGGGUGUCACGC